This 490-nucleotide ribosomal RNA is filed under the name uncultured bacterium. Its description in RNAcentral is "partial 16S ribosomal RNA". It matches the Rfam family "Bacterial small subunit ribosomal RNA", at positions 28 to 507 of the family's 1533-position model. The record is from RNAcentral.
GAUGAACGCUAGCUACAGGCUUAACACAUGCAAGUCGCGGGGCAGCAUGGGGGUUGCUUGCAAUCCCCGAUGGCGACCGGCGCACGGGUGAGUAACGCGUAUCCAACCUGCCCUUCACCACGGGAUAACCCGGCGAAAGUCGGACUAAUACCGUAUGUUGUCCAUUGACGGCAUCCGAUUUGGACGAAAGGCUUGGCGGUGAGGGAUGGGGAUGCGUCCGAUUAGCCAGACGGCGGGGUAACGGCCCACCGUGGCUACGAUCGGUAGGGGUUCUGAGAGGAAGGUCCCCCACACUGGAACUGAGACACGGUCCAGACUCCUACGGGAGGCAGCAGUGAGGAAUAUUGGGCAAUGGGCGUAAGCCUGAACCAGCCAAGUAGCGUGCAGGAUGACGGCCCUAUGGGUUGUAAACUGCUUUUAUGCGGGGAUAAAGUGGCCCACGGGUGGGCUUUUGCAGGUACCGCAUGAAUAAGGACCGGCUAAUUCCGUG